GACGAAGGGGGCUAGCGUUGUUCGGAAUUACUGGGCGUAAAGCGCGUGUAGGCGGUUGUUCAAGUCAGGUGUGAAAGCCUUGAGCUCAACUCAAGAAAUGCACUUGAUACUGGAUGACUAGAGGACCGGAGAGGAUAGUGGAAUUCCCAGUGUAGUGGUGAAAUACGUAGAGAUUGGGAAGAACACCAGUGGCGAAGGCGGCGACCUGGACAGGUACUGACACUCAACUACGAAAGCGUGGGGAGCAAACAGG
This 253-nucleotide ribosomal RNA is filed under the name uncultured bacterium. RNAcentral's name for it is "partial 16S ribosomal RNA". It matches the Rfam family "Bacterial small subunit ribosomal RNA", at positions 524 to 776 of the family's 1533-position model. The record is from RNAcentral.